Leptinotarsa decemlineata (Colorado potato beetle) is the source of this 815-nucleotide long non-coding RNA. NCBI's taxonomy places the organism in Eukaryota, Metazoa, Arthropoda, Insecta, Coleoptera, Chrysomelidae. The record is from RefSeq and is a predicted model, not a curated record.
UAUGCUGUGGCUGAGUUUUGUCUUUCUGUUGCAGAUAUUCGAACAAUUUGAAGAAAUUCAAACAUUUUAUUACACAAAAAUGCCGCUCUUCGCUGACUUGGUGCAGUUUAUCUAUCUCAUCUCUUUUGAGUUUAAUAACCACAAAGUUUGACAAAAAAAACUGCUCCGGAUAGGAUCAAACGCUUGAAACGAUCGAAACAAUGCUUGAAACGAUCAAAACGGCUCAUGAAACGAUCGAAACAAUGCUAAAAACGUUGAAAAUGGCCCUUGAAAUGAGCGAAUUAGUGCUAGAAACGAUCGAAACAACGCUUGGAACGAUCGAAAAAUCGCUUGAAACGAUCGGAACAACGCUUAAAACGGCGAAAAUGGCGCUUGAAACAGUCGGAAUAGUGUUUGAAACGAAUGAAACAACGCUUGAAAAUUCUCAAACAUAUGUUUCCAAUAUUUAUACUUCAUACUCAACGACUGUCAUGGCACAGUUGCCAGGGGAUUACAUUUCUUCAUAGGAAAAAAGUCCAUCUGUCGCUGGAGAUUGGAAGUUGCUGGGGUUUUACUUCACUUACAGUCACUUGGGCUCAGUUGCUUUGGAACCGUUUUCGAAGAGUGAUCGAUGGAUACCAAAUGAAUUUCUUAAUACCCGUUGAUGAUCUUGACCUCCCUCAAUAUUUAUAAACAUUCUAAUGCAGAGGUUGCAACUUUGCUCCAGUCACCUUACUAAGACGAAAUGCUCGAUACGAAUCCCCAAUAAGCAUAUUUUGCAAUCCUAUCAAUUUUGAUGUCUAUUAACUUGGAAUAAUAAAAGAUUGAAUUGUGAA